GGGCUAAUACCGGAUAAUAUUUUGAACUGCAUAGUUCGAAAUUGAAAGGCGGCUUCGGCUGUCACUUAUGGAUGGACCCGCGUCGCAUUAGCUAGUUGGUGAGGUAACGGCUCACCAAGGCGACGAUGCGUAGCCGACCUGAGAGGGUGAUCGGCCACACUGGGACUGAGACACGGCCCAGACUCCUACGGGAGGCAGCAGUAGGGAAUCUUCCGCAAUGGACGAAAGUCUGACGGAGCAACGCCGCGUGAGUGAUGAAGGCUUUCGGGUCGUAAAACUCUGUUGUUAGGGAAGAACAAGUGCUAGUUGAAUAAGCUGGCACCUUGACGGUACCUAACCAGAAAGCCACGGCUAACUACGUGCCAGCAGCCGCGGUAAUACGUAGGUGGCAAGCGUUAUCCGGAAUUAUUGGGCGUAAAGCGCGCGCAGGUGGUUUCUUAAGUCUGAUGUGAAAGCCCACGGCUCAACCGUGGAGGGUCAUUGGAAACUGGGAGACUUGAGUGCAGAAGAGGAAAGUGGAAUUCCAUGUGUAGCGGUGAAAUGCGUAGAGAUAUGGA
RNAcentral lists this ribosomal RNA (557 nucleotides) under Bacillus sp. 31Lc. RNAcentral's name for it is "bacterial SSU rRNA". It matches the Rfam family "Bacterial small subunit ribosomal RNA", at positions 160 to 702 of the family's 1533-position model. The record is from RNAcentral. Lineage: Bacteria; Bacillati; Bacillota; Bacilli; Caryophanales; Bacillaceae.